GAUGAACGCUGGCGGCGUGCCUAAUACAUGCAAGUCGAGCGAACGUACGAGAAGCUUGCUUUUCUGAUGUUAGCGGCGGACGGGUGAGUAACACGUGGAUAACCUACCUAUAAGACUGGGAUAACUUCGGGAAACCGGAGCUAAUACCGGAUAAUAUUUUGAACCGCAUGGUUCAAAAGUGAAAGACGGUCUUGCUGUCACUUAUAGAUGGAUCCGCGCUGCAUUAGCUAGUUGGUAAGGUAACGGCUUACCAAGGCAACGAUGCAUAGCCGACCUGAGAGGGUGAUCGGCCACACUGGAACUGAGACACGGUCCAGACUCCUACGGGAGGCAGCAGUAGGGAAUCUUCCGCAAUGGGCGAAAGCCUGACGGAGCAACGCCGCGUGAGUGAUGAAGGUCUUCGGAUCGUAAAACUCUGUUAUUAGGGAGGAACAUAUGUGUAAGUAACUGUGCACAUCUUGACGGUACCUAAUCAGAAAGCCACGGCUAACUACGUG
This 497-nucleotide ribosomal RNA is filed under the name uncultured bacterium. RNAcentral's name for it is "partial 16S ribosomal RNA". It matches the Rfam family "Bacterial small subunit ribosomal RNA", at positions 28 to 507 of the family's 1533-position model. The record is from RNAcentral.